UACGGAGGCCCCAAGCGUUGUUCGGAUUUAUUGGGCGUAAAGGGUGCGUAGGCGGCGUGGUAAGUCUGGUGUGAAAGGCGUGGGCUCAACCCACGGACUGCAUUGGAUACUGCCAUGCUAGAGGACUGGAGAGGAGAAUGGAAUUCACGGUGGAGCAGUGAAAUGCGUAGAUAUCGUGAGGAAGGCCAGUGGCGAAGGCGAUUCUCUGGACAGUACCUGACGCUGAGGCACGAAGGCUGGGGGAGCGAACAGG
RNAcentral lists this ribosomal RNA (253 nucleotides) under uncultured bacterium. RNAcentral describes it as "partial 16S ribosomal RNA". It matches the Rfam family "Bacterial small subunit ribosomal RNA", at positions 524 to 776 of the family's 1533-position model. The record is from RNAcentral.